CCCUUAGAUGUUCUGGGCCGCACGCGCGCUACACUGAUGCAUUCAACGAGUUUCUUCCUGGUCCGAGAGGAAUGGGUAACCUUUUGAAAGUGCAUCGUGAUAGGGAUAGAUCAUUGCAAUUAUUGAUCUUGAACGAGGAAUUCCUAGUAAACGCGAGUCAUCAGCUCGCAUUGAUUACGUCCCUGCCCUUUGUACACACCGCCCGUCGCACCUACCGAUUGAAUGUUUCGGUGAAGAUUCCGGAUAGGACUUUUUUGAUUUAUUUCAAUUUUGUCUUAAAAGCUAUCUAAACCUCAACAUUUAGAGGAAGGUGAAGUCGUAACA
RNAcentral lists this ribosomal RNA (324 nucleotides) under uncultured eukaryote. RNAcentral describes it as "partial 18S ribosomal RNA". It matches the Rfam family "Eukaryotic small subunit ribosomal RNA", at positions 1470 to 1796 of the family's 1831-position model. The record is from RNAcentral.